This is a long non-coding RNA of Octodon degus (degu), 363 nucleotides long. RefSeq lists it as uncharacterized. The transcript has 3 exons. The record is from RefSeq and is a predicted model, not a curated record. NCBI's taxonomy places the organism in Eukaryota, Metazoa, Chordata, Mammalia, Rodentia, Octodontidae.
AAGCAAUUACCUGCACCAAUGAUUAAUUAAACUAAUCCUAAAACAAAUAAUAUCAAUACACUCUACUAAAGGAUGAACUUGAUCUUUAAUACUAAUCUCACUAAUCCUGUUUAUUGGAACAACCAAUUUAUUAGGAUUAUUGCCACACUCCUUCACCCCCACUACCCAAUUAUCUAUAAAUUUAGGAGUAGCAAUCCCUCUUUGAGCGGGGGCUGUAAUCUUAGGCUUCCGACAUAAAACAAAAAUAUCUUUACCUCACUUCCUUCCCCAAGACACACCUAUUCUUCUCAUCCCUGUAUUAGUUGUAAUUGAAACAAUUAGCUUAUUUAUUCAACCUAUAGCUUUAGCAGUCCGUCUAACUGC